This 69-nucleotide transfer RNA is filed under the name Dipodomys ordii (Ord's kangaroo rat). It matches the Rfam family "tRNA". From Rfam's summary of the family: Transfer RNA (tRNA) molecules are approximately 80 nucleotides in length. Their secondary structure includes four short double-helical elements and three loops (D, anti-codon, and T loops). Further hydrogen bonds mediate the characteristic L-shaped molecular structure. tRNAs have two regions of fundamental functional importance: the anti-codon, which is responsible for specific mRNA codon recognition, and the 3' end, to which the tRNAs corresponding amino acid is attached (by aminoacyl-tRNA synthetases). tRNAs cope with the degeneracy of the genetic code in two manners: having more than one tRNA (with a specific anti-codon) for a particular amino acid; and 'wobble' base-pairing, i.e. permitting non-standard base-pairing at the 3rd anti-codon position. The record is from Rfam by way of RNAcentral. Lineage: Eukaryota; Metazoa; Chordata; Mammalia; Rodentia; Heteromyidae.
GGGAAUGUGGCUUAGUGGUAGAGUGCUUGCCUUGCAUGCAUGAAGCCUUGGGUUCUAUUCCUCGUACCA